CAAAAAAUAGUUUAGUGUAGAAUACCAGCUUUGGGGGCUGGUGGUGGGGGUUAGAGUCCCUCUUUUUUGA
Molecule: transfer RNA, 70 nt
Filed under: Serrivomer sector (sawtooth eel)
Lineage: Eukaryota; Metazoa; Chordata; Actinopteri; Anguilliformes; Serrivomeridae
Description: tRNA-Pro
Rfam family: tRNA
About the family: Transfer RNA (tRNA) molecules are approximately 80 nucleotides in length. Their secondary structure includes four short double-helical elements and three loops (D, anti-codon, and T loops).
Source: RNAcentral